GACGAACGCUGGCGGCGUGCUUAACACAUGCAAGUCGAACGGAAAGGCCCGGCUUUUGUGGGGUGCUCGAGUGGCGAACGGGUGAGUAACACGUGAGUAACCUGCCCUUGACUUUGGGAUAACUUCAGGAAACUGGGGCUAAUACCGGAUAGGAGCUCCUGCUGCAUGGUGGGGGUUGGAAAGUUUCGGCGGUUGUGGAUGGACUCGCGGCUUAUCAGCUUGUUGGUGAGGUAGUUGCUUACCAAGGCUUUGACGGGUAGCCGGCCUGAGAGGGUGACCGGCCACCAUGGGACUGCGGUACGGCCCAGACUCCUACGGGAGGCAGCAGUGGGGAGUAUUGCACAAUGGGCGGAAGCCUGAUGCAGCAACGCCGCGUGCGGGAUGACGGCCUUCGGGUUGUAAACCGCUUUCGCCUGUGACGAAGCGUGAGUGACGGUAAUGGGUAAAGAAGCACCGGCUAACUACGUG
RNAcentral lists this ribosomal RNA (468 nucleotides) under uncultured bacterium. RNAcentral describes it as "partial 16S ribosomal RNA". It matches the Rfam family "Bacterial small subunit ribosomal RNA", at positions 28 to 507 of the family's 1533-position model. The record is from RNAcentral.